CAGGACGAACGCUGGCGGCGUGCCUAAUACAUGCAAGUCGAGCGGACCGACGGGAGCUUGCUCCCUUAGGUCAGCGGCGGACGGGUGAGUAACACGUGGGUAACCUGCCUGUAAGACUGGGAUAACUCCGGGAAACCGGGGCUAAUACCGGAUGCUUGAUUGAACCGCAUGGUUCAAUCAUAAAAGGCGGCUUCGGCUGCCGUUUACAGAUGGACCCGCGGCGCAUUAGCUAGUUGGUGAGGUAACGGCUCACCAAGGCGACGAUGCGUAGCCGACCUGAGAGGGUGAUCGGCCACACUGGGACUGAGACACGGCCCAGACUCCUACGGGAGGCAGCAGUAGGGAAUCUUCCGCAAUGGACGAAAGUCUGACGGAGCAACGCCGCGUGAGUGAUGAAGGUUUUCGGAUCGUAAAGCUCUGUUGUUAGGGAAGAACAAGUACCGUUCGAAUAGGGCGGUACCUUGACGGUACCUAACCAGAAAGCCACGGCUAACUACGUGCCAGCAGCCGCGGUAAUACGUAGGUGGCAAGCGUUGUCCGGAAUUAUUGGGCGUAAAGCGCGCGCAGGCGGUUUCUUAAGUCUGAUGUGAAAGCCCCCGGCUCAACCGGGGAGGGUCAUUGGAAACUGGGGAACUUGAGUGCAGAAGAGGAGAGUGGAAUUCCACGUGUAGCGGUGAAAUGCGUAGAGAUGUGGAGGAACACCAGUGGCGAAGGCGACUCUCUGGUCUGUAACUGACGCUGAGGCGCGAAAGCGUGGGGAGCGAACAGGAUUAGAUACCCUGGUAGUCCACGCCGUAAACGAUGAGUGCUAAGUGUUAGAGGGUUUCCGCCCUUUAGUGCUGCAGCAAACGCAUUAAGCACUCCGCCUGGGGAGUACGGUCGCAAGACUGAAACUCAAAGGAAUUGACGGGGGCCCGCACAAGCGGUGGAGCAUGUGGUUUAAUUCGAAGCAACGCGAAGAACCUUACCAGGUCUUGACAUCCUCUGACAUCCCUAGAGAUAGGGCUUCCCCUUCGGGGGCAGAGUGACAGGUGGUGCAUGGUUGUCGUCAGCUCGUGUCGUGAGAUGUUGGGUUAAGUCCCGCAACGAGCGCAACCCUUGAUCUUAGUUGCCAGCAUUCAGUUGGGCACUC
Molecule: ribosomal RNA, 1132 nt
Filed under: Bacillus sp. 2BSG-PDA-17
Lineage: Bacteria; Bacillati; Bacillota; Bacilli; Caryophanales; Bacillaceae
Description: bacterial SSU rRNA
Rfam family: Bacterial small subunit ribosomal RNA
Source: RNAcentral